AACUUGGAUAUCAAACCCUUGUUCUCAGGUCUGUCUCCAAAGUCAUAAAAAUAAUUGCAUUUUACUAGACAGUAUCAUACACAACACAAGGAGGCAGUUGAUCUCACAUGAGGAUGAGAGAUACAUGAAACCAGGCGAGCAGCGGAGAAUGAAGAACUAGACGUAUAUUUCUGUUUCUCCAUAAUCAGUAGCAGCAUACUCAUUGAAUGAAAGACAAUACCACCCUUUCAUAACUAGGGUUGUUGACUUCAUAUACUAGAUUUCACUUUGCAAAUGGAAGUACA
Molecule: unclassified non-coding RNA, 284 nt
Filed under: Hevea brasiliensis (rubber tree)
Lineage: Eukaryota; Viridiplantae; Streptophyta; Magnoliopsida; Malpighiales; Euphorbiaceae
Source: RNAcentral